Molecule: long non-coding RNA, 460 nt
Organism: Pieris napi
Lineage: Eukaryota; Metazoa; Arthropoda; Insecta; Lepidoptera; Pieridae
Exons: 5
Source: RefSeq, a predicted model, not a curated record
GCUGUUUUGGCGACCGUAUCUGGGCAGGAAUGGGGUUCUUCAUUUACUAAUAAAACGAAACAGCGGAGCUAUUUACACUUAUGAAGAUGUUGAGUUAAGAAGAAUAUUUCCAAGUGAAUUCCCGCAAGACACAGUCAGAAAAAGCGGAGCUUCCGAUCCAGAACAUUUAGGUCGUUAUUCAGAAUUAAAGAAUUACUUCAGAAAUCCUAAGUCAAACAUAAACUCCCAUUUUGAAGAGUUGGCAUGUUUUAAUGAAAAUGGUAAAAAGGUAUGUAGAAUAGACUUAGAGCGAUAUACACAAGAAGAAGACCAGUACUAUUCGUCGAUGAUGAGAGAGAGUCACGUGGACAGACGUAGAGUAUACUGCAUCAUGCUGCUUUGUUUUACCGAAGAUGAACUGGACAGAAUUGUCGCUUCAUUUGACGUCAUUUCAUAAUAUACCACAGUAUUUUUUUAAUCA